CUCAGAACGAACGCUGGCGGCAGGCUUAACACAUGCAAGUCGAACGCCCCGCAAGGGGAGUGGCAGACGGGUGAGUAACGCGUGGGAACAUACCCUUUCCUGCGGAAUAGCUCCGGGAAACUGGAAUUAAUACCGCAUACGCCCUACGGGGGAAAGAUUUAUCGGGGAAGGAUUGGCCCGCGUUGGAUUAGCUAGUUGGUGGGGUAAAGGCCUACCAAGGCGACGAUCCAUAGCUGGUCUGAGAGGAUGAUCAGCCACAUUGGGACUGAGACACGGCCCAAACUCCUACGGGAGGCAGCAGUGGGGAAUAUUGGACAAUGGGCGCAAGCCUGAUCCAGCCAUGCCGCGUGAGUGAUGAAGGCCUUAGGGUUGUAAAGCUCUUUCACCGAUGAAGAUAAUGACGGUAGUCGGAGAAGAAGCCCCGGCUAACUUCGUGCCAGCAGCCGCGGUAAUACGAAGGGGGCUAGCGUUGUUCGGAAUUACUGGGCGUAAAGCGCACGUAGGCGGAUAUUUAAGUCAGGGGUGAAAUCCCGCAGCUCAACUGCGGAACUGCCUUUGAUACUGGGUAUCUUGAGUAUGGAAGAGGUAAGUGGAAUUCCGAGUGUAGAGGUGAAAUUCGUAGAUAUUCGGAGGAACACCAGUGGCGAAGGCGGCUUACUGGUCCAUUACUGAC
Molecule: ribosomal RNA, 673 nt
Filed under: Rhizobium sp.
Lineage: Bacteria; Pseudomonadati; Pseudomonadota; Alphaproteobacteria; Hyphomicrobiales; Rhizobiaceae
Description: bacterial SSU rRNA
Rfam family: Bacterial small subunit ribosomal RNA
Source: RNAcentral